Molecule: ribosomal RNA, 622 nt
Filed under: uncultured bacterium
Lineage: Bacteria
Description: bacterial SSU rRNA
Rfam family: Bacterial small subunit ribosomal RNA
Source: RNAcentral
CAAAGGAGCAAUCCGCUGAAAGAUGGGCUCGCGUCCGAUUAGGUAGUUGGUGAGGUAACGGCCCACCAAGCCGACGAUCGGUAGCCGGACUGAGAGGUUGGACGGCCACAUUGGGACUGAGACACGGCCCAGACUCCUACGGGAGGCAGCAGUAAGGGAUAUUGGUCAAUGGGGGAAACCCUGAACCAGCAACGCCGCGUGAGGGAAGACGGUUUUCGGAUUGUAAACCUCUGUCCUCUGUGAAGAUGAUGACGGUAGCAGAGGAGGAAGCUCCGGCUAACUACGUGCCAGCAGCCGCGGUAAUACGUAGGGAGCGAGCGUUGCCCGGAUUUACUGGGUGUAAAGGGUGCGUAGGCGGCUGUGCAAGUCAGUAGUGAAAUCCAUGGGCUUAACCCAUGAACUGCUAUUGAAACUGCACAGCUUGAGUGAAGUAGAGGUAGGCGGAAUUCCCGGUGUAGCGGUGAAAUGCGUAGAGAUCGGGAGGAACACCAGUGGCGAAGGCGGCCUACUGGGCUUUAACUGACGCUGAGGCACGAAAGCGUGGGUAGCAAACAGGAUUAGAUACCCUGGUAGUCCACGCUGUAAACGAUGAUUACUAGGUGUGGGGGGACUGAACCCUUCC